This 500-nucleotide unclassified non-coding RNA is filed under the name uncultured Glomus. RNAcentral's name for it is "SSU rRNA". It matches the Rfam family "Eukaryotic small subunit ribosomal RNA", at positions 591 to 1092 of the family's 1831-position model. Lineage: Eukaryota; Fungi; Glomeromycota; Glomeromycetes; Glomerales; Glomeraceae. The record is from RNAcentral.
CCAAUAGCAUAUAUUAAAGUUGUUGCAGUUAAAAAGCUCGUAGUUGAAUUUCGGGAUCAGUAGGUCGGUCGUGCCACUGGUAUGAACUGGUCUCACUGGUUCCUCCCUCUUGACGAACUGCAAUGCUAUUAAUUUAGUGUUGUAGGAAAUCAGGACUGUUACUUUGAAAAAAUUAGAGUGUUUAAAGCAGGCUUUGGCUUGAAUACACUAGCAUGGAAUAAUGAAAUAGGACGUUCGAUCCUAUUUUGUUGGCUUCUAGGAUUGACGUAAUGAUUAAUAGGGACAGUUGGGGGCAUUAGUAUUCAAUUGUCAGAGGUGAAAUUCUUGGAUUUAUUGAAGACUAACUACUGCGAAAGCAUUUGCCAAGGAUGUUUUCAUUAAUCAAGAACGAAAGUUAGGGGAUCGAAGACGAUCAGAUACCGUCGUAGUCUUAACCAUAAACUAUGCCGACUAGGGAUCGGAUGAUGUUAAUUUUUUAAUGACUCAUUCGGCGCCUUACG